CCAGUCAAGGAAGCCACACUCGGUUUGACCCGAGCCCAGACUUCCCUCUUCCUCUCCGCCUGCCUCCGGCGUCCUCCGCAUGACGCCGUCGUCUCCGGCCAUCCCUGGCGACGAGACCAUCUUCAAUCUCUUCCUCUCCUUCUCUUCUAUCUAACCCGGUCCAUGGAUCACACUUUCUUCUCGAUUCAGUGGUGAUCGAUCGAAGGAAAGCUCGACUGUGUUCUGCAAUUUCCGGUGAGCUCCGGUAGGGACGACGGCUAUGAAGGGUAUAUUCUUGUCCUCCUCACUUCCCUCUUCCUUGUUGUGUCUUUGUUUUUUUGAUUCGUGGCCAAAUUGGAGGAAGCCCUAAUUCUGUUUUAUGGGUUUUCCGGCGAGCCACCGUCGUUGACGCCGUCGAGGUUUCUUGGUGUCUCUUCUCUCCUCCCCGACGUUGCAUUGAUCUCAUGGAGACCCAGUCGUUUCUGUUGAAGAUCAAGGGUGCUGCUGCUGUGGUGUUGGAGGCGUUGGUGAGCUCGGGUGUUGAUGAAAGCCAUGGUUAGCAGCGACGGUUUAGGCUGAGGGUGAACUCAGUCUGGUGAGGUUUAUAGCAAGGUGAGGAAUCUCUAGGUUUCUGCUUGGUUUGAUGAUUGAAAUGCUGCUGUGUUUUGUGGUAUGGUUGAUUGGUGAUUAAUCUUGGGUUUUUUGGUUGUUUGUAUGUCGAGAACUUGGUAUAUUGAAGGAUAUAGGGAGGUCAUGGCGAAAUUCCGGCAAGUGGCCGGAAUCCGGCAGAAUAUUCCGACAAGUCGUCGGACUCCGGCGAAGGCAGUUAGUACAUCAGGAGCAGUUGAGGUAGUUAUCGAAGUUUUCCUUUUUGUUUUGCGUUGUUUCUUAAAUAGGAAAGUUUGUCGGUUUAUAAUCGAAAAUCUUUUUAAGUGAGGAAAGUUCCUAUUUUGGGAAACUUUCCCUUUUUGGCAACUUCCUAUUUAUGGAAACCCUUUUUGGGUGCCCUUAGUAAAUAUUGAGGUGAAGUUGUGUAGAGAGGAAAUGAAGGAAAUUGUUGGUAUUGUUUGUAAGCAUGUUUGAUCGUAGGGGAUCAUAAAAUAAUUUUGGAAGUAUUUUAGUUAAUGUGUUAAGGCAGGGAAAUUGAUAGUGACUUUGAUUCCAGGUUAAGGUUCAGUCCGAAUACGUUAUAAUUGCGAAGUUUAGUCGGAAUUGAUUAUUAAUAUAUGUUGGUCAAUCCUGGUCAACCUAAGAUACUUGGUCAAUUUAAGAAGAAGUCGAAUCAAUGAUUAUAGGAAUCCGGCCGUAGGAUAUAAGUCUUUAAUUUGUAGAAGGUUGAAUUAGGGCUGCCGGUAUGUUCGGUGAAGUUUGAGCCAUUUUGGGGUUAUGAAGGACAAAGUUGGGCAAUGAUGAGUGUGUGGGAGGCUCACGUUUAAUUUUUGCCCAUUUUGUUAAUUAUUGGAUUUUUAGUUGGGAAAUUAAUUAUAUGUUUGGAUCAGGACGUGAGGAGGCUCGAGUGGAAGAGGUCUCGGAUCGACGUCAGGCUUAGGCCUAAAGUUGUGAGUGGACUUUUGUUUUAAAAUAUAUGCAUGCGGUGAUUCUACAUUAAAUGAUUGAUUUUAUUGAAUAUCAAUUUGUGGAUUUGUCUAUUUUCCCGAAGUCAUUUUCAGAAGUAAAUGUUCUCAUUUUUAAUGGCUAUCGUGUUAUUUGGAAAGUUACCGAAAAUAAGAUUUUCGGUAGAGUCGUGUGCGUAUUGCUUUUUAUGAUAAUUGGCAAUUUUCAUUAUUGUUGGAAAAUAACCGAAAUUGAGAAUUUCGGUGAGUAUGUAUAUAUAUCCAUAUUUGGAUGAUUAUGAGAAUAAUAUGUAUAUGAGGGAAUGCUAGCUAGCUAUACGUGCUUUUCCACCAUACUGAGGUAAAAUUCCAUUAUGGUGCGACGUGAGCGUUAGACGCAAUCGUUGUAGCCCUAUAUAAAAAUAAUAAUUUAUAUAGGGGAUAUGCGCGUAUAUUUAUACACCGUCUUUUCCACCAUAAUGAGGUAAAAUACCAUUAUGGUGCGACGUGAGCGUUAGACGCAAGCGUCGUAGCCUUGUGUGAAUUUUCUAUUUGUUUUUGUUGUUUCAAGAAAAUUCAUACAAGGGAUAUGACGAGUGUAAUACAUACAUAUUUUAUUUUAGCUUGAGAGGCUGUAUUUUAUUGAGCGUUGGAGACUGGCCAGAGCUAGUCAUGAAAUUGCCAGUUUUUGUGUUGAGCAUUUUUGAGCUGUUGCAUGCAGCAUAUUUUCUAUGGAAAUGUAAAUUGGGAAAGCAUAAAUAUUUUCAUUAAAUUUAUCUUUUUGUCCACUCACUCUAACGGUUUCAAAUGUUUUCCCCUGGGCUCUUCGUUUUAUAAAUGCCUAGUUGCAGGUUAGCAUAGUGAGGCUGAGCGUACAUGGUGAAGAGGCAUAGUCAAUAGUAUAGCUUCCGCUCAUUUUUAUUUAUUUCUAGUUCCUCUCCUCUCAAGUAGAGUUGCUCUGAAUAUGUGGUUGUUGGUUAUAGGAUCAUUUGUUAGAUUAGUGAAUCUAUAUUGGGAGAUGUUGUGAUUUGUGGGGAGCACGAAGGCUCCAGGAGUUAAGGUUGGAGUUGGAACUUUUAGAAGUGUUUGCAGGUGUUUUUUUUUAGGAAGGGUUGUCCAUUUUUAAGGGAGGUUAUGCCGAAUUUUCGGUAAAUUUUCCUUGCAG
This 2697-nucleotide long non-coding RNA is filed under the name Fragaria vesca (wild strawberry). Its description in RNAcentral is "long non-coding RNA (FVES_LNC005479)". Lineage: Eukaryota; Viridiplantae; Streptophyta; Magnoliopsida; Rosales; Rosaceae. The record is from RNAcentral.